GACGAACGCUGGCGGCGUGCUUAACACAUGCAAGUCGAACGGAAAGGCCCUGCUUUUGUGGGGUGCUCGAGUGGCGAACGGGUGCGUAACACGUGUGUAACCUGACCUUGAUUUUGGGAUAACUUCAGGAAACUGGGGUUACUACCGGAUCGGAUCUCCUGCUGCAUGGAGAGGGUUGGAACGUCUCGGCGGGUGGGGAUGGACUCGCGGCUUAUGAGCUUGCUGGUGGGGGAGUGGCUUACCAAGCCAGUGACCGGUAGCCGGCCUGAGAGGGUGGCCGGGGACAUGAGGACUGAGGGACGCAGCAGACGCGAACGGGAGGCAGCGGGGGGGAGUAUGACACAGUGAGAGGGAGUCUGAGACGGAGACGCCGGGGGCGGGAUGACGGUCUUCGGGUAGAGAACCGCUGUCGCCUGAGACGAAGCGGGAGUGACGGUAAUGGGUAAAGAAGCACCGGCUAACUACGUG
Molecule: ribosomal RNA, 468 nt
Filed under: uncultured bacterium
Lineage: Bacteria
Description: partial 16S ribosomal RNA
Rfam family: Bacterial small subunit ribosomal RNA
Source: RNAcentral